RNAcentral lists this ribosomal RNA (449 nucleotides) under uncultured bacterium. RNAcentral's name for it is "partial 16S ribosomal RNA". It matches the Rfam family "Bacterial small subunit ribosomal RNA", at positions 29 to 523 of the family's 1533-position model. The record is from RNAcentral.
AAUGAACGCUGGCGGCAGGCCUAACACAUGCAAGUCGAACGGCUCCUUCGGGAUUAGUGGCGGACGGGUGAGUAACGCGUGGGAACAUACCCUUUGGUACGGAAUAGCCUCGGGAAACUGGGAGUAAUACCGUAUGUGGUCGAGAGGCGAAAGAUUUAUGGCCAAAGGAUGGGCCCGCGUUGGAUUAGGUAGUUGGUGGGGUAAUGGCCUACCAAGCCGACGAUCCAUAGCUGGUUUGAGAGGAUGAUCAGCCACACUGGGACUGAGACACGGCCCAGACUCCUACGGGAGGCAGCAGUGGGGAAUCUUAGACAAUGGGGGAAACCCUGAUCUAGCCAUGCCGCGUGAUCGAUGAAGGCCUUAGGGUUGUAAAGAUCUUUCAGGUGGGAAGAUAAUGACUGUACCACCAGAAGAAGCCCCGGCUAACUCCGUGCCAGCCGCCGCGGUAA